UUUCUAUCCGCCCAAUGAUGAACCGCCUCUGGUAAGCGGCCAGCGACCUCAACCACCUCUUCUCCACCACAUGCAAGUUCCCCUCCGCCUCUCCCUUUUUUCCCUCUCUCUCGCAUGUCGUUUCCAAGUUAGAGUGAACCCUAAUCCUAGCCGUUCCAGUUUGGUUCCACAACACAUCAACCUCAAGAUCCAGACCCCUCGCAAAAAACUGAACACGAUUUGACCUUCCACCUCGUCCCUGAACUCAAGAUCUAUACCCCUUAGCAUCCAUGGUACAAGGUUAUCCAAUACUGAGAUAUGAUUAUCACUCUACUCAAGGGAUCUUGCUACUGGAGCAGGUGCGCAAGGACUCGUGCUGAAAGCGGAGCUGAAAUGGCAGAGGAGAAUGCAGAAGAAGAUGAGGACAUGAUUCUGGUCUUCCUUUGUGAUGUACUGUAUGAUGAAGUAGCAACCUAUGUUUUGGACAUUGCUUAAUAUUUUGGAUCAUACUUUGGAUGAUAAUCUAUGUUUUACUAUGUUAAAUGUGUGUUCAUAGUUCAAAAAGUUGCGAAAA
Lolium perenne is the source of this 553-nucleotide non-coding RNA. Lineage: Eukaryota; Viridiplantae; Streptophyta; Magnoliopsida; Poales; Poaceae. The record is from RefSeq and is a predicted model, not a curated record.